CCUACGGGGGGCAGCAGUGGGGAAUAUUGGGCAAUGGACGAAACCCUGACCCAGCAAUGCCGCGUGAAUGAUGAAGGUCUUCGGAUUGUAAAGUUCUGUGCUGGGGGAUGAACACAAUGACGGUACCAUAAUAGCAAGCCACGGCUAACUACGUGCCAGCAGCCGCGGUAAUACGUAGGUGGCAAGCGUUAUCCGGAAUGACUGGGCGUAAAGGGAGCGUAGGUGGUUUAGUAAGUUGGCGGUGAAAUUCCGGGGCUUAACCUCGGCGCUGCAGCGGAAACUAUUAGACUAGAGUGCAGGAGAGGUAAGUGGAAUUCCUAGUGUAGCGGUGGAAUGCAUAGAUAUUAGGAGGAACACCAGGGGCGAAGGCGACUUGCUGGACUGUAACUGACGCUGAGGCACGAAAGCGUGGGGAGCAAACAGGAUUAGAUACCCGUGUAGUC
This 443-nucleotide ribosomal RNA is filed under the name uncultured bacterium. RNAcentral's name for it is "partial 16S ribosomal RNA". It matches the Rfam family "Bacterial small subunit ribosomal RNA", at positions 338 to 795 of the family's 1533-position model. The record is from RNAcentral.